This 53-nucleotide small RNA is filed under the name unclassified sequences. RNAcentral describes it as "NAD+-I sequence". It matches the Rfam family "nadA riboswitch". The record is from Rfam by way of RNAcentral.
GCUUUCAACAUCCCCGUUCCGGGUCCGCCGCGGCGAACGCCGGGACUGAAGGC